RNAcentral lists this ribosomal RNA (467 nucleotides) under Striatella unipunctata. RNAcentral's name for it is "partial Bacterial large subunit ribosomal RNA". It matches the Rfam family "Bacterial large subunit ribosomal RNA", at positions 492 to 960 of the family's 2925-position model. The record is from RNAcentral. Lineage: Eukaryota; Bacillariophyta; Striatellaphyceae; Striatellales; Striatellaceae.
GAACCAGUACCGUGAGGGAAAGGUGAAAAGCACCCCGACGAGGGGAGUGAAACAGUUUCUGAAACCGGACGCCUACAAGCAGUGGGAGGCCCCUUGAGGGCUGACCGCGUACCUUUUGUAUAAUGGGUCAUCGACUUAGUCUGACUAGCAAGCUUAAGCCGUUAGGUGUAGGCGCAGCGAAAGCGAGUCUUAAUAGGGCGAAUAGUUUGUUGCAUUAGACCCGAAACCAAGUGAUCUAGCCAUGAGCAGGUUGAAGGUUGAGUAACAUCAACUGGAGGACCGAACCCACUAACGUUGAAAAGUUAGGGGAUGACCUGUGGCUGGGGGUGAAAGGCCAAUCAAACCGGGAGAUAGCUGGUUCUCCCCGAAAGCUAUUUAGGUAGCGCCUCGGACGAAUACCAUUGGGGGUAGAGCACUGUUUGGGCUAGGGGGUCAUCCCGACUUACCAACCCUUUGCAAACUCCGAA